UACACGACCGUACCGCAAACCGACACUGGUGCGCGAGAUGAGUAUUCUAAGGCGCUUGAGAGAACUCAGGAGAAGGAACUCGGCAAAUUGACACCGUAACUUCGGAAGAAGGUGUGCCCUAUUAGUGUGAAGUGAACAACGGAGCAUGAAUGGGUUGCAAAAAAUCGGUGGCUGCGACUGUUUAUUAAAAACACAGCACUCUGCAAACACGAAAGUGGACGUAUAGGGUGUGACGCCUGCCCGGUGCUGGAAGAUUAAAUGAUGGGGUGCAAGCUCUUGAUUGAAGUCCCAGUAAACGGCGGCCGUAACAAUAACGGUCCUAAGGUAGCGAAAUUCCUUGUCGGGUAAGUUCCGACCUGCACGAAUGGCGUAACGAUGGCCACACUGUCUCCUCCUGAGACUCAGCGAAGUUGAAAUGUUUGUGAUGAUGCAAUCUCCCCGCGGAAAGACGGAAAGACCCCAUGAACCUUUACUGUAGCUUUGUAUUGGACUUUGAACAGAUCUGUGUAGGAUAGGUGGGAGGCUUUGAAGCCAGGACGCUAGUUCUGGUGGAGCCAACGUUGAAAUACCACCCUGGUGUGUUUGAGGUUCUAACCUAGGUCCAUUAUCUGGAUCGGGGACAGUGCAUGGUAGGCAGUUUGACUGGGGCGGUCUCCUCCCAAAGCGUAACGGAGGAGUUCGAAGGUACGCUAGUUACGGUCGGACAUCGUGACGAUAGUGCAAUGGCAUAAGCGUGCUUAACUGCGAGACUGACAAGUCGAGCAGAUGCGAAAGCAGGACAUAGUGAUCCGGUGGUUCUGUAUGGAAGGGCCAUCGCUCAACGGAUAAAAGGUACUCUGGGGAUAACAGGCUGAUACCGCCCAAGAGUUCAUAUCGACGGCGGUGUUUGGCACCUCGAUGUCGGCUCAUCUCAUCCUGGGGCUGUAGCCCGUCCCAAGGGUAUGGCUGUUCGCCAUUUAAAGAGGUACGUGAGCUGGGUUUAAAACGUCGUGAGACAGUUUGGUCCCUAUCUUCCGUGGGCGCUGCAGAUUUGAGGAAGCCUGCUCCUAGUACGAGAGGACCGGAGUGGACACACCUCUGGUGUAUCGGUUGUCACGCCAGUGGCAUUGCCGAGUAGCUAAGUGUGGAAGAGAUAACCGCUGAAAGCAUCUAAGCGGGAAACUCGUUUCAAGAUGAGAUCUGCCGGGGCCUUGAGCCCCCUAAAGAGUCGUUCAAGACCAGGACGUUGAUAGGUCAGGUGUGGAAGCGCAGUAAUGCGUUAAGCUAACUGAUACUAAUUGCUCGUGCGGCUUGAUC
Molecule: ribosomal RNA, 1296 nt
Filed under: metagenome
Description: bacterial LSU rRNA
Rfam family: Bacterial large subunit ribosomal RNA
Source: RNAcentral